CCUACGGGUGGCAGCAGUGGGGAAUAUUGGACAAUGGGGGAAACCCUGAUCCAGCAACGCCGCGUGAGUGAAGAAGUAUCUCGGUUUGUAAACCUCUAUCGACAGGGAAGAGGAAAUGACAGUACCUGACGAAGAAGCCCCGGCUAACUACGUGCCAGCAGCCGCGGUAAUACGUAGGUGGCAAGCGUUGUCCGGAAUUACUGGGUGUAAAGGGCGCGUAGCCGGGCUGGUAAGUCAGAUGUGAAAUCCGGGGGCCCAACCCCCGAACUGCAUUUGAAACUAUGGGACUGGAGUGUCGGAGAGGCAGGCGGAAUUCCUAGUGUAGCGGUGAAAUGCGUAGAUAUUAGGAGGAACACCAGUGGCGAAGGCGGCUUACUGGACUGUAACUGACGUUGAGGCUCGAAAGCGUGGGGAGCAAACAGGAUUAGAUACCCGAGUAGUC
This 442-nucleotide ribosomal RNA is filed under the name uncultured bacterium. Its description in RNAcentral is "partial 16S ribosomal RNA". It matches the Rfam family "Bacterial small subunit ribosomal RNA", at positions 338 to 795 of the family's 1533-position model. The record is from RNAcentral.